This 511-nucleotide ribosomal RNA is filed under the name uncultured bacterium. RNAcentral's name for it is "bacterial SSU rRNA". It matches the Rfam family "Bacterial small subunit ribosomal RNA", at positions 34 to 518 of the family's 1533-position model. The record is from RNAcentral.
CGCUGGCGGCGUGCCUAAUACAUGCAAGUCGAACGGUCUUUCUAUGGAAGCUUGCUUCCACUGAGAAGAUAGUGGCGAACGGGUGAGUAACACGUGGGUAACCUGCCCAUAAGAGGGGGAUAACAUCCGGAAACGGGUGCUAAUACCGCAUAGUUUUCUUGAUCGCAUGAUUGAGAAAGGAAAGACGGCCUUUGUGCUGUCGCUUAUGGAUGGACCCGCGGCGUAUUAGUUAGUUGGUGAGGUAACGGCUCACCAAGACGAUGAUACGUAGCCGACCUGAGAGGGUGAUCGGCCACAUUGGGACUGAGACGCGGCCCAAACUCCUACGGGAGGCAGCAGUAGGGAAUCUUCCGCAAUGGACGAAAGUCUGACGGAGCAACGCCGCGUGAGUGAAGAAAGGUUUUCGGAUCGUAAAACUCUGUUGUCAGAGAAGAACAAGUUGGAGAGUAACUGCUCCAGCCUUGACGGUAUCUGACCAGAAAGCCACGGCUAACUACGUGCCAGCAGCCGC